CUACGGGGGGCACCAGUUAAGAAUAAUCUACAAUGCGCGAAAGCGUGAUAGUUUGAGCCAGAGUGUGUUUCUAUUUGAAACACUUUUCUGCACUGUAAAAAGGUGUAGGAAUAAGGACUGGGUAAGACUAGUGCCAGCCGCCGCGGUAAUACUCAGCGGUCCAAGUCGCAGCCAUAUUUAUUGGGUCUAAAACAUCCGUAGCUUGCUUUGUAAGUCCCUUGUGAAAUUUUAUCUCUUAAGGAUAAAGCGCGCGAGGGGUACUGCAGAGCUAGAGACUGGAAGACGGAAGAAGUAUGUUCAAAGUAGUGGUAAAAUACGUUAAUCUUGAGCAGACUAACAAUAGCGAAGGCAUCUUCCGAGGACAGUUCUGACAGUAAGGGAUGAAAGCUAGGGGCGCAAAACGGAUUAGAUACCCCAGUAGUC
RNAcentral lists this ribosomal RNA (423 nucleotides) under uncultured archaeon. RNAcentral's name for it is "partial 16S ribosomal RNA". It matches the Rfam family "Archaeal small subunit ribosomal RNA", at positions 323 to 746 of the family's 1478-position model. The record is from RNAcentral.